This 639-nucleotide ribosomal RNA is filed under the name uncultured fungus. Its description in RNAcentral is "eukaryotic LSU rRNA". The stretch from base 243 to 396 matches the Rfam family "5.8S ribosomal RNA". The record is from RNAcentral. Lineage: Eukaryota; Fungi.
AGUAAAAGUCGUAACAAGGUCUCCGUUGGUGAACCAGCGGAGGGAUCAUUACAGAGUUGCAAAACUCCCACAAACCAUCGCGAAUCUUACCCGUACGGUUGCCUCGGCGCUGGCGGUCCGGAAAGGCCCUCGGGCCCUCCCGGAUCCUCGGGUCUCCCGCUCGCGGGAGGCUGCCCGCCGGAGUGCCGAAACUAAACUCUUGAUAUUUUAUGUCUCUCUGAGUAAACUUUUAAAUAAGUCAAAACUUUCAACAACGGAUCUCUUGGUUCUGGCAUCGAUGAAGAACGCAGCGAAAUGCGAUAAGUAAUGUGAAUUGCAGAAUUCAGUGAGUCAUCGAAUCUUUGAACGCACAUUGCGCUCGCCAGUAUUCUGGCGAGCAUGCCUGUUCGAGCGUCAUUUCAACCAUCAAGCUCUGCUUGCGUUGGGGAUCCGCGGCUGUCCGCGGUCCCUCAAAAUCAGUGGCGGGCUCGCUAGUCACACCGAGCGUAGUAACUCUACAUCGCUAUGGUCGUGCGGCGGGUUCUUGCCGUAAAACUCCCCAUUUCUAAGGUUGACCUCGGAUCAGGUAGGAAUACCCGCUGAACUUAAGCAUAUCAAUAAGCGGAGGAAAAGAAACCAACAGGGAUUGCCCCAGUAACG